AUUGAACGCUGGCGGCAUGCCUUACACAUGCAAGUCGAACGGCAGCACGGGAGCAAUCCUGGUGGCGAGUGGCGAACGGGUGAGUAGAGUAUCGGAACGUGCCCAGUCGUGGGGGAUAACGUAGCGAAAGCUACGCUAAUACCGCAUACGAACUAUGGAUGAAAGCGGGGGAUCGCAAGACCUCGCGCGAUUGGAGCGGCCGAUAUCAGAUUAGGUAGUUGGUGGGGUAAAGGCCUACCAAGCCGACGAUCUGUAGCUGGGCUGAAAGGACGACCAGCCACACUGGGACUGAGACACGGCCCAGACUCCUACGGGAGGCAGCAGUGGGGAAUUUUGGACAAUGGGCGCAAGCCUGAUCCAGCAAUGCCGCGUGCAGGAUGAAGGCCUUCGGGUUGUAAACUGCUUUUGUACAGAACGAAAAGGUUUCUACUAAUACUAGGAGCUCAUGACGGUACUGUAAGAAUAAGCACCGGCUAACUACGUGCCAGCCGCCGCAGUAA
RNAcentral lists this ribosomal RNA (500 nucleotides) under uncultured bacterium. Its description in RNAcentral is "partial 16S ribosomal RNA". It matches the Rfam family "Bacterial small subunit ribosomal RNA", at positions 30 to 523 of the family's 1533-position model. The record is from RNAcentral.